UCUUCUUCAGCAAGAGGGUUCUUCUGCGGCUACCGAAAUGGAGUUGGAGAGGCUGAAGCUUGAUUGCAAAAGAUCAUUAGAAAUGGUCCAAAGAUGGAAGAAAAUGUAUGAAGACCUACAUCACUACUGCGUGGAUGAGCUUCUCGAUGGUGGUCAACAGAAAGGCCUGGUGGAAAUUACACCUGAUAACAACUGGGCACUAGAAUCAAGAAAUCAAUCAAGUUUUGUAAUUGAGUCAAGAUUGUAAUUCCUGGUCACUUACCAAUCCAGUUCAUUACAAGUGAAAAAUCACUUUGGAAAGUGGGAGAAACUCUAGAGUUAUAUUUCCAAAGCAGAGAAUAUGGACCUAUAGUCUUCUCUCCACUACAAAAAUCAUGUACUGUCGCAGUCAAAGAAACCAGAA
Molecule: long non-coding RNA, 403 nt
Organism: Telopea speciosissima
Lineage: Eukaryota; Viridiplantae; Streptophyta; Magnoliopsida; Proteales; Proteaceae
Exons: 2
Source: RefSeq, a predicted model, not a curated record